Molecule: ribosomal RNA, 301 nt
Filed under: uncultured bacterium
Lineage: Bacteria
Description: partial 16S ribosomal RNA
Rfam family: Bacterial small subunit ribosomal RNA
Source: RNAcentral
CAGUCGCCGCGGGAAUACAGAGGGUGCAAGCGUUAAUCGGAAUUACUGGGCGUAAAGCGCGCGUAGGUGGUUCGCCAAGUUGGAUGUGAAAUCCCCGGGCUCAACCUGGGAACUGCAUCCAAAACUGGCGAGCUAGAGUAUGGUAGAGGGUGGUGGAAUUUCCUGUGUAGCGGUGAAAUGCGUAGAUAUAGGAAGGAACACCAGUGGCGAAGGCGACCACCUGGACUGAUACUGACACUGAGGUGCGAAAGCGUGGGGAGCAAACAGGAUUAGAUACCCGUGUAGUCCCUGUCUCUUAUAC